GAUGAACGCUGGCGGCGUGCCUAAUACAUGCAAGUCGAGCGAACAGAUGAGGAGCUUGCUCCUCUGACGUUAGCGGCGGACGGGUGAGUAACACGUGGAUAACCUACCUAUAAGACUGGGAUAACUUCGGGAAACCGGAGCUAAUACCGGAUAAUAUAUUGAACCGCAUGGUUCAAUAGUGAAAGACGGUUUUGCUGUCACUUAUAGAUGGAUCCGCGCCGCAUUAGCUAGUUGGUAAGGUAACGGCUUACCAAGGCAACGAUGCGUAGCCGACCUGAGAGGGUGAUCGGCCACACUGGACCUGAGACACGGUCCAGACUCCUCCGGGAGGCACCAGUAGGGAAUCUUCCGCAAUGGGCGAAGGCCUGACGGAGCAACGCCGCGUGAGUGAUGAAGGUCUUCGGUUCGUAAACCUCUGUUAUUAGGGAAGAACAAAUGUGUAAGUAACUGUGCACGUCUUGACGGUACCUAAUCAGAAAGCCACGGCUAACUACGUG
This 497-nucleotide ribosomal RNA is filed under the name uncultured bacterium. Its description in RNAcentral is "partial 16S ribosomal RNA". It matches the Rfam family "Bacterial small subunit ribosomal RNA", at positions 28 to 507 of the family's 1533-position model. The record is from RNAcentral.